AUAGAAACUAACAUCAAAAAUUAUUACAAAAUAAUAAAGUAUUUUAAAGGAGUUAUUAAGGAUAAUUAGCAAAUUUAUAAAUAAGGAGGCACAGUCCAAAUGCCGUAAUGUAAUGUACUUAGGUACAAUCAUUUAAGGUUUUAAGUGAAUUAUUAACAAUUAAAGUAGUUAAUAUCUGCAUUUCGUAAACAAACGGCGUUCCUAAGGGAAACCUUUAUAUUUUAUACUUCCUGAAGUAAAUCAUUUCAGUAAGGAAAGGAAAGGAAAUCAACCGAGACUCCAAAAGUAAAGGCGAUUGAAAUUGGAUUAGCCGUAAUCAAAAGUUUAAUGAAGCAACCAGAGAAGGUGUAAACCAUAGUCCUGUAGUUAAAUUUAAGAUAACAAAAGUAUGAUGAGAGAAAACUUGUCAGAAUAAAGGGGAACCAUCCUCUAAGGCUAAGUAUUAUAAAUUUAGCGAUAGUGAAUAGUACUGUAAAGGAACAAUUUGAAAAAGAUUAUAAAAUUAGUGAUUGAAAUAAACUUUGAAUUAGUAACUCUAUAAGCAGUCGAAGUUGUGAAAACAAUGACGGCGUACCUUUUGCAUAAUGGGUCAGCAAGUUAAUAGGAAUAGCAAGGUUAAUAGCCUUAGCGAAAGCGACUAAACUAAUUUAGUGGAGUAAUAAAUUACAAUAUUUUUAUUUAAGAAAUCUUUCUGAUAAAAAGAGUAUUACCUUAUUAUAAUUUAAAAUUAGAUAAGUUAAUAUUUGCUAGAUAUUAGUGUUGGGUAAGUUAUUUCUAUUAGACCCGAAGCUAGAUGAUCUUUCCAGGACCAGAUUUUAAGGAUCGAACAGGUGAAUGUUGCAGAAUUCUCUGAUGAGUUCUGGAAAGCGGUGAAAUGCCAAUCUGAUCUAGUGCUAGCUGGUAUUCUUCGAAACAUAUGUAAGUAUGACAUCUAAUAAGAUUUAUGGAGGUACAGCACGAAAUUCCAAACAAUUAUAGGUGUUGCUUUAGCAGUAACUAUAUGCGUUUAGGUUGUGGGGAUCUAGUAAAUCUUACCAAUGGAAUUUAAACUCGGAAGUACAUAAAUUGCUGUUAGAUAUUCAGACUGCUCAUGAUAAGUUGAGUAGUCAAGACGAAAACAGUCGAGAACACGUAUUAAGGUCCCAAAUGAUUAUUAAGUGAAAUUAAGGAUGUUAUAUAUUGUAUGCAGCUGUAAAGUGAGCCUGGUAGUCGCUACUUUUAAUGAUCGUUGUAACAACGCAUCAGCUCUUUAGAUUGUAGCACCGAAAAUUUAACGGGUCUAAAUAAUCAACCGAUAUCGUGUUGGUUAAUAAUAUAACACAUUAUUAAUUUAGGUAGAAGAACAUUCAGGAACGUAAGAUACACAGUGUUUCAUUGUGAUUGACGAACUGAAGAGAGAAUGCUGACAUGAGUAACGUAAAAAGAAGUUAUAAUACUUCUCGCCGAAUACGAAAGGGUUAUAAGUAAGGUUUCAACUAACUUAUGUUAAAUGCGGGUCUCUAAGGAUAUGGAACCAAAGUUUCAUCUGAUGAGUAAAUGAUAAACAGCCUAAAGGAUAGAUAAGGCCAAGAAAAUAAUAUCAUUUAAGUAAAUAUCCUUUAGUGGAUAGAACUAAUGUUUCUUUUUUAAAGAAGGUUUACUUUUGUAAACUGUAAAUGUUCUAGCUUAAGUUUAUUUUGUUACUUGUAAAUUUAACUAAUAUUUUUACAUGUUAAAUUUAAGUGAUGCUUAACUACCGUACCCUAAACCGACACAGGUUCGUAGGUAGAGAAUACUAAGGCGUAGAGCUAAAAGUUGUAAAGGAACUCGGCAAGAUGUCCUCAUAAGUUUGGCGAUAAGAGGAACCAAUAAACAUUAUAUUUAAUAUUAGGUAAAACUAUUUAUUAAGCUUAUUAAUUCAUUAAUAGGGGAAAUCCAAACUAUAAUGUUGAUUUUGGUGGCACAAAAUCGGAGGCCUCGACUGUUUACUAAAAACACAAGAAUGUGCAAUGAUGAAAGUCAUAGUAUACGUUCUGAAAUUUGCUCGAUGCCAUUAAUAUAAAAGAGGUAAUGGGUAACUGUUACUGAUUGAAAGUCUGGUUAAUAGCGGUCUUAACUAUGAGGAUCCUAAGGUAGCGAAAUAAAUUGGCCAUUAAAUGUGGUCCGGUAUCAAUAAUGUAACGAAGGUCUCACUGUCUCUACAACUUGCUCAGUGAAAUUGAAUUACCCGUGCAGAUGCGGGUUACCUCCAGUGGGACGGGAAGACCCUAUGCAGCUUUACUGUAGUUAGUUAAUACGCUGAUCUAGAACAAUUUUUAACAAUAGUGAUUAGGGAUGUCGAAGGACGUUGUUUUUGUAAUAUUAUAAAAAUACCCCAAAAGGGCUUGCGUGGAAACCUCCAGAUAAAAAUUGGGUCAGUGUUUACCUUUGUUGUUAUUUUGCGUGUAAAAAAUUAAAAUACUUAAAUGUAGCUUUAAUAAAAAAAGAAAGGUUGUAAUUCGUAAGAAUAUUCCUAACCACGUAAUCUAAACUAAUUAGGGAGAAUUGACUAAUUGGCAGUUUGACUGGGGCGGUCGUCUUUAAUAAAGUAGCAAAGUACACCCACAGAAAUAAACAAUAAAAAUAUUAAUCCCCCUCGGGGUUAUCAAACUAAAUAGGAAAUUGUAAUGGUAUAAAAUGAUUUAAUACCUAGUCAGCCCUGCUAGCCUCAAGGGGUUCGGGUGUUGUUAAAGUAUAAAUAUUAUUUUAUAAAGGAUUUCUUUUCAUUUUAACAUUAAACCAUUAAACAUUAUUUAUGUAUAAACUUUUUUUAAUAAGGUAUAGCUAGAAAUCGAAUGGAGAUCAAUCAACUAGUGUUAAGGUUGUGUAUAGUGUAAUGGCGGUAAGCAUACCUAACUGAAAGACUCAAAAGUCGAACAGAUACGUAAGUAGGGCAUAGUGACCCCUCGCUAUAAUAUGGAAUAGACGGGGAUCAUUUGAUAAAAGUUACGCUAGGGAUAACAGGCUGAUAGCCGGCGAGAGUACACAUUGUCCCGGCUGUUUGGCACCUCGAUGUCGAUUCAUCCUAUCCUCCGGGUGAAGAAUCUUGGAAGGGUUGGGCUGUUCGCCCAUUAAAAGGGUACGUGAAUUGGGUUUAAUACGACGUGAGUCAGUAUGGUCCCUAUCUUCUGGAGGAACAAUUAGUAAAAAGGGGCAGACCUUCUAGUACGAAAGGAUCAAUAGGCUGUGUUUCCAUAGUGUACCAAUUGUUGAAAUCAAUACUAAUAUAAACCAUAUUAUCUUUGAUGUGGUAACUACUAUACUUAGGUAUAGGUAUAAUAACAAAUAUACCCCAAAGGGGCUUGCGAUAGUUACCUAUAAAAUAUAGUCCAUUAAAACCGCAAGGUUUGCAAGGUUAUAUACAUAUUUUGGCACAGUUGGGUAGCCACAAACAUGGUAGAUAAGUGCUGAAAGUAUCUCAAGCAAGAAUCUACCCCCUAGAUACUAACGAUUAUAUAAAAAAUAAUCAAUAAGAUAAGAAAUAGAACAUUUCUUGGAUAGGAUGCAAAUGAAAGUACUGAGAAGUAUUUAGUUUAGCAUUACUAAUUGGUCACAAGACUUUAUGUUAAGAUAUUCACAC
This 3598-nucleotide ribosomal RNA is filed under the name Pyrrhoderma lamaoense. RNAcentral's name for it is "large subunit ribosomal RNA". It matches the Rfam family "Bacterial large subunit ribosomal RNA". The record is from RNAcentral. Lineage: Eukaryota; Fungi; Basidiomycota; Agaricomycetes; Hymenochaetales; Hymenochaetaceae.